RNAcentral lists this unclassified non-coding RNA (272 nucleotides) under plant metagenome. RNAcentral's name for it is "partial contains small subunit ribosomal RNA, internal transcribed spacer 1, and 5.8S ribosomal RNA". The stretch from base 1 to 53 matches the Rfam family "Eukaryotic small subunit ribosomal RNA", at positions 1778 to 1831 of the family's 1831-position model. The record is from RNAcentral.
GGAAGUAAAAGUCUAACAAGGUCUCCGUUGGUGAACCAGCGGAGGGAUCAUUACCGAGUUUACAACUCCCAAACCCCUGUGAACUUAUACCUUUACUGUUGCUUCGGCGGGUCAUGCCCCGGGGAAACAGGCGGCCGUCAGGUCCCUGCCCACCCGGAAACAGGCGCCCGCCGGGGGACUCAAACUCUUCUGUAUUUUUUUGUUUACUGUAUACUGUCUGAGUAAAAAUUCACAAUGAAUCAAAACUUUCAACAACGGAUCUCUUGGUUCUG